RNAcentral lists this unclassified non-coding RNA (277 nucleotides) under fungal sp. RNAcentral's name for it is "partial internal transcribed spacer region". The stretch from base 1 to 46 matches the Rfam family "Eukaryotic small subunit ribosomal RNA", at positions 1786 to 1831 of the family's 1831-position model. Lineage: Eukaryota; Fungi. The record is from RNAcentral.
AAGUCGUAACAAGGUUUCCGUAGGUGAACCUGCGGAAGGAUCAUUACCGAAUUGUCGACACGAGUUGUUGCUGGCCCCUUGAAUGGGGGGCAUGUGCACGCUCUGUUUGCAUCCACUCACACCUGUGCACCUUCUGUAGUUCUAUGGUCUGGGAGACACCUGUCUUCCCUCCCGUGGUUCUACGUCUUUACACACACACUGUAAUGUAGUCUUAUGGAAUGCACGCAGCGUUUAACGCAAUACAAUACAACUUUCAGCAACGGAUCUCUUGGCUCUC